Molecule: ribosomal RNA, 719 nt
Filed under: Parasterope styx
Lineage: Eukaryota; Metazoa; Arthropoda; Ostracoda; Myodocopida; Cylindroleberididae
Description: eukaryotic LSU rRNA
Rfam family: Eukaryotic large subunit ribosomal RNA
Source: RNAcentral
UGAAAAUGGAUUGUGCGCAUUGUAGACAUGCACACCUAUACCCAACCGCUGGUGUGACAGAACAGGCAAAUGUGAGUUGCAGAUGCCAGGGCCUACAGGCCCCAGCGAGUAGGAGGGGCGCGGUGGUGUGCGCAGAAGGGAUUGGGCGUGAGCCUGCCUGGAGCCGCCAUCGGUGCAGAUCUUGGUGGUAGUAGCAAAUACUCGAGCGAUAUCCUGGAGAUCUGAUGUGGAGAAGGGUUCCAUGUGAACAGCUUUUGCACAUGGGUCAGUCUGUCCUAAGCUGCAGGAGAAAUCCGGGUUCUGGCGAAAUCGGUGCUCCCGAAAAACCAAAAUUAAAUUUUGAAAUAAUGGGUGUCACUGCCAAACCUAAGCAAGAGGGAAUCCGGUACUGAUUCCGGAACCUGGUCACGGAUAACCUCUCUUCGGAGAGGGUCGUUGGGGUCCUCGUGAUCUACACCGUAAGGUAGCUAAACUCGGGGAAGUUCGGCCGCUGUCCCGGGCAGAGUUUUCUGUUCUGUAUUAAGGGCCCGGAUCCCUGGAAUCGCCUCGCGCGGAGAGAGGGAACUGGUUUCAUUUUAGCCCGAAGAGCCCCGCAGUUCUUGCGGGGUCCGAUUGGAUGGCGGUCGAACCCUUGAAAACACCCGAGGGAGGGCGUACAACUUUCGUGCCAGUCUGUACCGCAUAUCCGCAGCAGGUCUCCGAGGUGAACAGCCUCUAGU